UGGAGAGGGAGUGAGGAAGGCUGUGUUUCCAGUAAGGGAUGAGAAAUAAGAGCAGUAAUGAGUAAUUUUUUCCCUGGCUGAAUACAAAUGUGCAACCUGAGGAUGAGAAGACACUGGAGCACAAGGGUCACAUGUACAGUGAGUUGUAAUAAAGAGACCCCACUGCAAAGACAAGCAGGAAAUGCCACAAGGAAGAAAUGUAGAAAGGACUAAAAAAAGCCAAGGAUUGUUUGGAUUUGGAGAAAGACUUCUUGCCUGAGCAUUGUCCCUACUUUGAGCAGAGUGCUGACAAAAUUGUCCUGUCUGCUUGUUUAAUCAAUUUCAGCUUUUCAUCUGGUCAUAUAAUCGAGACAUCUCCAGUUCAGAGCUGGAAACUGGACAGGACAUUAAAAAUGAAGUCUUGUCAAGAGCAAAGCCAGAAGCACAUCUUGAUUGAUGCUGCCAGAGUAUGUCAAGGGAACAGAUGAAAACCUUGUGGAUAAAGAGAAACCCACCAGGACUGAAAGGCCACAUAAUUGAUGUUAGGAUUAAAACCCUCACCGGGAUUCAGGGGUGAGUACAUUUAGCCUGAGGUGUAAAGGUGUAAAGGUCUGGGUUGCUUCUGCCAU
This 608-nucleotide long non-coding RNA is filed under the name Chloebia gouldiae (Gouldian finch). Its description in RNAcentral is "Erythrura gouldiae (Gouldian finch) lncRNA (ENSEGOG00005017191.1)". Lineage: Eukaryota; Metazoa; Chordata; Aves; Passeriformes; Passeridae. The record is from RNAcentral.